GAUGAACGCUGGCGGCGUGCCUAAUACAUGCAAGUCGAGCGAACAGACGAGGAGCUUGCUCCUCUGACGUUAGCGGCGGACGGGUGAGUAACACGUGGAUAACCUACCUAUAAGACUGGGAUAACUUCGGGAAACCGGAGCUAAUACCGGAUAAUAUAUUGAACCGCAUGGUUCAAUAGUGAAAGACGGUUUUGCUGUCACUUAUAGAUGGAUCCGCGCCGCAUUAGCUAGUUGGUAAGGUAACGGCUUACCAAGGCAACGAUGCGUAGCCGACCUGAGAGGGUGGACGGCCACCACGGAAAUGAGAAAAGGGCCCAACUCCCAAGGGGGGCAGGAGUAGGGAAUCUUCCGGAAUGGGCGAAAGCCUGAACGAGCAAAGGCGCGGGGGGGAAGAAGGGCUUCCGAUCGGAAAACCCCGGUAUUAGGGAAGAACAAAUGUGUAAGUAACUAUGCACGUCUUGACGGUACCUAAUCAGAAAGCCACGGCUAACUACGUG
Molecule: ribosomal RNA, 497 nt
Filed under: uncultured bacterium
Lineage: Bacteria
Description: partial 16S ribosomal RNA
Rfam family: Bacterial small subunit ribosomal RNA
Source: RNAcentral